Molecule: ribosomal RNA, 363 nt
Filed under: uncultured haloarchaeon
Lineage: Archaea; Methanobacteriati; Methanobacteriota; Halobacteria; Halobacteriales; Halobacteriaceae
Description: bacterial SSU rRNA
Rfam family: Archaeal small subunit ribosomal RNA
Source: RNAcentral
ACUGCACGACAGUGCGAUAAGGGGACCCCGAGUGCGAGGGCAUACAGUCCUCGCUUUUCUGAACGGUAAGGACGUUCAGGAACAAGUGCUGGGCAAGACCGGUGCCAGCCGCCGCGGUAAUACCGGCAGCACGAGUGAUGGCCGAUCUUAUUGGGCCUAAAGCGUCCGUAGCCGGCCGAGCAAGUUCGUCGGGAAAUCCACCAGCUCAACUGGUGGACGUCCGGCGAAAACUGCUCGGCUUGGGGCCGGAAGACCCAAGGGGUACGUCCGGGGUAGGAGUGAAAUCCUGUAAUCCCGGACGGACCGCCGAUGGCGAAAGCACCUUGGGAAGACGGACCCGACGGUGAGGGACGAAAGCUGGGG